RNAcentral lists this small RNA (84 nucleotides) under Escherichia coli. RNAcentral describes it as "partial RtT sRNA". It matches the Rfam family "RtT RNA", at positions 49 to 130 of the family's 130-position model. From Rfam's summary of the family: This family represents a bacterial cis-regulatory element known as RtT RNA. The exact function of RtT is unknown although it is thought that it may be involved in changing the cellular response in relation to amino acid starvation. Lineage: Bacteria; Pseudomonadati; Pseudomonadota; Gammaproteobacteria; Enterobacterales; Enterobacteriaceae. The record is from RNAcentral.
CGAGCGCCAGCGAGAGAGCGUUGCCGCAGGCAACGACCCGAAGGGCGAAGCGCGCAGCGUUGAGUAAUCCUUCCCCCACCACCA